RNAcentral lists this ribosomal RNA (495 nucleotides) under uncultured bacterium. RNAcentral describes it as "partial 16S ribosomal RNA". It matches the Rfam family "Bacterial small subunit ribosomal RNA", at positions 28 to 507 of the family's 1533-position model. The record is from RNAcentral.
GACGAACGCUGGCGGCGUGCCUAAUACAUGCAAGUAGAACGCUGAAGGAGGAGCUUGCUCUUCUGGAUGAGUUGCGAACGGGUGAGUAACGCGUAGGUAACCUGCCUGGUAGCGGGGGAUAACUAUUGGAAACGAUAGCUAAUACCGCAUAAGAGUAGAUGUUGCAUGACAUUUGCUUAAAAGGUGCAAUUGCAUCACUACCAGAUGGACCUGCGUUGUAUUAGCUAGUUGGUGGGGUAACGGCUCACCAAGGCGACGAUACAUAGCCGACCUGGGAGGGUGAUCGGCCACACUGGGACUGAGACACGGCCCAGACUCCUACGGGAGGCAGCAGUAGGGAAUCUUCGGUAAUGGACGGAAGUCUGACCGAGCAACGCCGCGUGAGUGAAGAAGGUUUUCGGAUCGUAAAGCUCUGUUGUAAGAGAAGAACGAGUGUGAGAGUGGAAAGUUCACACUGUGACGGUAUCUUACCAGAAAGGGACGGCUAACUACGUG